RNAcentral lists this transfer RNA (97 nucleotides) under Serratia liquefaciens. Its description in RNAcentral is "tRNA-Ser". It matches the Rfam family "tRNA". Rfam says of the family: Transfer RNA (tRNA) molecules are approximately 80 nucleotides in length. Their secondary structure includes four short double-helical elements and three loops (D, anti-codon, and T loops). The record is from RNAcentral. RNAcentral also lists the same sequence under 1 other name. Lineage: Bacteria; Pseudomonadati; Pseudomonadota; Gammaproteobacteria; Enterobacterales; Yersiniaceae.
GGAGAGGUACCAAAGUGGCCGAAUGGUUUUUCCUCGAAGGAAAAUGUAUUUUGCUUUAAGCAGGAUACCGCAGGUUCGAAUCCUGCCCUCUCCGCCA